GGAAGAGAAUCAUCCUUCGUGAAGCAUUCGAAGGAGGUGGUCAUCCUUUGUGAAGAUUCAAAGGAGGUGUAAGUUCAUCUCUUGUGGUUUCAAGAGAGGUGAUAUUUCUAAACUCUUACAAAUUGUUUUUCUCUGUGAUUAAUAUUUGUAAUUGUUUUGUGAUAGUGAAAAAGGUUUAUCUUGUUUGAGAUAAGCGACUGGACGUAGGAUCUGUGUGAUCUGAACCAGGAUAAAAUCACCUGUGCAAUUUGUCUCUUUCCCUUACUCUCUUAUUUAUAUUUAAUUAUCUGCUCAGUAAGAAAAAUUAAGAGAAAAAUAAUAAAAGGCACGAUAAAAGUAUAUAACCAAUUCACCCCCCCCUCCUCUUGGUUUGUUCCACGCUAAUAAUUCUGUUGCAGCGAUUCUAACAAUUGGUAUCAGAGCUCGUUGUGAUAGUCAUUCAAAUGGCAGAAUCAUAUCAAACUGUUGCAGAGAGUGCCUUUAUCAAUAGACCAUCGUUGUUCAUAGGUGAAAAUUAUGCAUUCUGGAAGGUUAAAAUGCAAAUAUUUAUUAGGUCUAUUGAUUGUGAGAUUGUGGAUGUUAUUGCAUUUGGUUUGUCUGUUCCUACUAACAAUUUGCAGGAACCAAAGCCUCGUAUUCAUUGGACUGCUAAAGAGAAGAAAAGAUUUCAAAAUGAUGUGAAAGCCCGAAACAUCAUUUCAUCUGCUUUAACCGUUGACGAGUUUUACAGGAUCUCAGUUUGUAAGACNGCUCAAGAGAUGUGGNAAGUGCUGAGAGUGACCCACGAAGGUACAGAUGACGUGAAGAGAGCGAGAAAGAAUACCCUAAUCCAAGAAUAUGAAAUGUUCAGGAUGAAGCAAGGAGAAACAAUAUCAGAUGUUCAAAAACGCUUCACCAAUAUCGUAAAUCACCUCAUUGGACUAGGUAAGUCUUUCGAGAAUGAUGAACUUAAUAUAAAAAUUUUGAAAUCUUCAGACAGGUCAUGGCAACCACAAGUGACUGCAAUUUCUGAGUCACAAAAUCUCAACACAAUGACUAUGGCGGCAUUAUUUGGAAAGUUGAGAGAGCAUGAACUUGACCUUGGAAGACUGGAUGAAGAAGAAGCAAUGGCAAAAACAAAGAAAAAGAGUCUAGCCUUAAAAUCUGAGGUAGAAAGGAGCAAAAGCAAAAUAGAAGAUGAAAACUCAGAAGAUGAAGAAAAUUUGAGACUCAUGAUAAAAAGGCUCAACAAGUUCAUGAAAUCAAAAGACAAAGGAAGAUUCAAAGUCGAAAAGAAAGAAAACCAAGAAUCCUCCUUAAAAUAUAGAUGUUAUGGUUGUGGAGAAAGGGGGCACUUAAAAGCGGACUGUCCAAAUCAAAAGAAGAAUGAAGAAAUAAAGGAAAAGAAAUCCUUCAAGAAAAAGAAGGCUUGCAUCGCAUGGGACGAUGACAAUGAAACAAUUUCUUAUUCGAGCGAAUCUGAUGAAGAGGCAAACAUCUGUUUAGUGGCAGACGAUGACGCUGGAAGCCAAGUAAGUACAUCUAGCAAUUAUGAUAAUUAUAGUCAAUUUAGUGAAAGUGAUUGCAUGAAACUUAUGUUGCUUUACUUGUUGAAUCUGAAAAAUUAGAUAAAGCCCAUAAGAAAUUGAAAAAGGAUUUCAAAAAUUUAAAAUUAAAUUUUGAAAAUAUUUCAGAAAAAAAUAAAAUUUAAAAUCAGAUUUUGAAAAUAUUUCUCAGGAAAAUAAAAGUUUAAAAUCAAAUUUUGAAACUAUACUUGAAGAGAAUAAAAAUUUGAAAAAUAAAAUUUUAUUUUAUGAAAAAGGUAAAUUUACUAGUAGUGAUGAAUGUGCAUCUUGCGAAAAUUUUAAGAAAAUGCUAGAACAAACAACCUUAGAAGAAUGCAGUAAAAUUAAUGAAAAUAAGGUUGUUAAAAAUAAGUAUGUUCCUAAAAUUAAAAAUAAACAUAAUAAUAAAACCUGUAGAACAUGGGUAGAAAAAGGAACAACUUAUAGGAACACAAACUUUAUAUCAUGUUUUUAUUGUAUGAAAAAAGGUCAUACCUCAAAUAAAUGUAAAAUUAAGCAUUUUGGUGUUCCAAGUAGUAGAUAUGUUUGGGUUGUAAAAUGAUUUCAUUUUUUUUAAACCAAAGGACAAUGUUUAUUUAUUUAUUUUAAAUUAUUUUAAUUUUAGAAAAACAAAAUUUGAGAAAAUUUUAUUCCAAGCAUGUUGUCUUUGAUAAAAUUAUGGACCUUGAGGUAAAACCUCUUGAGUCAAUUGAAUCAGAUGCAGGUAAUAAUGAAGACUUGCAGAAGACAACAAAAAAAAAAAGAAUGAUGACAAUCCCUAAGACAAAGAUCUCAACAAAAUAUCAUUACACAACGAAUUUGGAGAUAUAUCAAAAUGGGUAAACAUUAGAAGAGAUCUAUGANUUUUAAAGAUCUCUUAUGAUUGAAUUUUUUUUCAUUUUGUGCCUUUUUGUGCAUUUUUGAAAAUUUAGCCAUAUUUUUGUAUGCUUUAAAAUUCCUAUAUUAUAUGGUUCAAUGUAUGAUUUUUUAUAAAAAAAAAAUCCUUAUCCUAAAAUUAUAUGUUUUAAAUCUCCUAUUCUGUAUGAUUGAAUAAAUAUUUAAAUUUGAAAUAUAUUGGACUCAUAUGCAUACAUGCUUUUAUUAAGGGGGAGUAUUAUCUUAGGGGGAGAACAUGAAACACAACUUUUUAAUUAUGAUCAAAAAGGGGGAGAAAAUAUCUUAAAGCUUAUUGUUAUUCACUAAUGCCCUUGUCUUCCAUGAGUUGUGUUUUUACUCAGAUUAUUACCAAAAACUUUAAUUCAAAGGAGUUUUUGAUCAUCAUCAAAAAGAGGGAAAAUGUUAGCAAAAUGAUGAAGAUGAAGUUUUGAUGAUGCCCAAAUCAAGUCAAAAUUUAUCAAGAUUCAUGAAGAUCCUUUGAAGACUUAUUUUUGUUAUGAAAAGCUUUUGUAAUAAUUAUAGUUUAAUUGUUUAGGACUUAGAUUUGUAGUAGGUUUUGAUUCUUGUAUCUUUAUAUUUUGUAUUUGUUGUUUAGAAUCAAAACUUCCUCGUUUUAAUCAAUUAAUUUUUGAUAUAAUCGAUUAAAAUCGCUGCAGAAGCCAAAACCCAAUCAGCUUUGGAAUAAUCGAUUAAAGCAAGUUUUAAUCGAUUAAUCCUGAGAAUAAUCGAUUAAUACUAGCCGUUGGAGGUUUCUGAUUUGAAAAACUAGUCGUUGUACUUAUUUUAAUCGAUUAACACUAAUAUUAAUCGAUUAAAUGCAUUAAACGGCCAGUUUCGUAGAAUGGAAGAGUAUUUGCUUGAGUCUGUAUAUAGGCUCUCUUUAUCCAUCAACAAUAACUCUUCCCUUGUGCUAAGAACCUCUGAACUCUUUGAGAACUCUGUGAGAUUGUUGAAGCUAAGGAAACUCUUGUCUGCAAAGCUUUGAAGUGCUACUGCGGUGACAGAGGAAUAGCUUAUUCAUCCUUGGUGUGUCCGAGGAAGUGCCUGGAAGAGAAUCAUCCUUCGUGAAGCAUUCGAAGGAGGUGGUCAUCCUUUGUGAAGAUUCAAAGGAGGUGUAAGUUCAUCUCGUGUGGUUUCAAGAGAGGUGGCAUUUCUAAACUCUUACAAAUUGUUUUUCUCUGUGAUUAAUAUUUGUAAUUGUUUUGUCAUAGUGAAAAAGGUUUAUCUUGUUUGAGAUAAGCGACUGGACGUAGGAUCCGUGUGAUCUGAACCAGGAUAAAAUCACCUGUGCAAUUUGUCUCUUUCCCUU
This 3750-nucleotide long non-coding RNA is filed under the name Vigna radiata. Its description in RNAcentral is "long non-coding RNA (VRAD_LNC005580)". The record is from RNAcentral. Lineage: Eukaryota; Viridiplantae; Streptophyta; Magnoliopsida; Fabales; Fabaceae.